RNAcentral lists this ribosomal RNA (502 nucleotides) under uncultured bacterium. RNAcentral's name for it is "partial 16S ribosomal RNA". It matches the Rfam family "Bacterial small subunit ribosomal RNA", at positions 30 to 523 of the family's 1533-position model. The record is from RNAcentral.
AUUGAACGCUGGCGGAAUGCUUUACACAUGCAAGUCGAACGGCAGCACGGGUGCUUGCACCUGGUGGCGAGUGGCGAACGGGUGAGUAAUAUAUCGGAACGUAUCCAAGAAUGGGGGAUAACUAGCCGAAAGGUUAGCUAAUACCGCAUACGCCCUGAGGGGGAAAGCUGGGGAUCGUAAGACCUAGCGUUGAUGGAGCGGCCGAUAUCUGAUUAGCUAGUUGGUGGGGUAAGGGCCUACCAAGGCGACGAUCAGUAGCUGGUCUGAGAGGACAACCAGCCACACUGGAACUGAGACACGGUCCAGACUCCUACGGGAGGCAGCAGUGGGGAAUUUUGGACAAUGGGGGCAACCCUGAUCCAGCCAUUCCGCGUGAGUGAAGAAGGCCUUCGGGUUGUAAAGCUCUUUCGCAAGGGAAGAAAACUCGAUCUCUAAUAUAGGUUGAGGCUGACGGUACCUUGAUAAGAAGCACCGGCUAACUACGUGCCAGCCGCCGCUGUAA